RNAcentral lists this ribosomal RNA (300 nucleotides) under uncultured bacterium. RNAcentral describes it as "bacterial SSU rRNA". It matches the Rfam family "Bacterial small subunit ribosomal RNA", at positions 28 to 334 of the family's 1533-position model. The record is from RNAcentral.
GAUGAACGCUGGCGGCGUGCCUAAUACAUGCAAGUCGGACGGGGCGCUUCGGCGCUCAGUGGCGAACGGGUGAGUAGCACAUGGGCAACCUGCCCUUCAGAGGGGGACAACAGCUGGAAACGACUGCUAAUACCGCAUAACAUAUUCGGACCGCAUGAUCUGAAUAUCAAAGCUUUAUGUGCUGAAAGAUGGCCUCGCGUCUGAUUAGCUAGUUGGUGGGGUAACGGCCCGACCAAGGCGACGAUCAGUAGCCGGUCUGAGAGGAUGAACGGGCCACAUUGGGACUGAGAUACGGCCCAG